RNAcentral lists this ribosomal RNA (468 nucleotides) under uncultured bacterium. RNAcentral's name for it is "partial 16S ribosomal RNA". It matches the Rfam family "Bacterial small subunit ribosomal RNA", at positions 28 to 507 of the family's 1533-position model. The record is from RNAcentral.
GAUGAACGCUGGCGGCGUGCUUAACACAUGCAAGUCGAACGGAAAGGCCCUGCUUUUGUGGGGUGCUCGAGUGGCGAACGGGUGAGUAACACGUGAGUAACCUGCCCUUGACUUUGGGAUAACUUCAGGAAAAUGGGGCUAAUACCGGAUAGGAUCUCCUGCUGCAUGGUGGGGGUUGGAAAGUUUCGGCGGUUGGGGAUGGACUCGCGGCUUAUCAGCUUGUUGGUGGGGUAGUGGCUUACCAAGGCUUUGAAGGGUAGCCGGCCUGAGAGGGUGACCAGCCACAUUAGGACUGAGAUACGGCCCAGACGCCUACGUGAGGCAGCAGUGGGGAAUAUUGCACAAUGGGCGGAAGCCUGAUGCAGCGACGCCGCGUGCGUGAUGACGGCCUUCGGGUUGUAAACCGCUGUCGCCUGUGACGAAGCGUGAGUGACGGUAAUGGGUAAAGAAGCACCGGCUAACUACGUG